UACCGAGUUAUUCAACUCAUCAACCCUGUGAACAUACCUAAACGUUGCUUCGGCGGGAAUAGACGGCCCCGUGAAACGGGCCGCCCCCGCCAGAGGACCCUUAACUCUGUUUCUAUAAUGUUUCUUCUGAGUAAAACAAGCAAAUAAAUUAAAACUUUCAACAACGGAUCUCUUGGCUCUGGCAUCGAUGAAGAACGCAGCGAAAUGCGAUAAGUAAUGUGAAUUGCAGAAUUCAGUGAAUCAUCGAAUCUUUGAACGCACAUUGCGCCCGCCAGUAUUCUGGCGGGCAUGCCUGUUCGAGCGUCAUUACAACCCUCAGGCCCCCGGGCCUGGCGUUGGGGAUCGGCGGAGCCCUUUGUGGGCACACGCCGUCCCCCAAAUACAGUGGCGGUCCCGCCGCAGCUUCCAUCGCGUAGUAGCUAACACCUCGCGACUGGAGAGCGGCGCGGCCACGCCGUAAAACACCCAACUCUUCUGAAGUUGACCUCGAAUCAGGUAGGAAUACCCGCUGAACUUAAGCAUAUCAAUAA
Molecule: ribosomal RNA, 530 nt
Filed under: Fusarium cf. solani IPBCC 08.569
Lineage: Eukaryota; Fungi; Ascomycota; Sordariomycetes; Hypocreales; Nectriaceae
Description: eukaryotic LSU rRNA
Rfam family: 5.8S ribosomal RNA (bases 153-306)
Source: RNAcentral